RNAcentral lists this ribosomal RNA (606 nucleotides) under uncultured Verrucomicrobiota bacterium. RNAcentral's name for it is "bacterial SSU rRNA". It matches the Rfam family "Bacterial small subunit ribosomal RNA", at positions 75 to 680 of the family's 1533-position model. The record is from RNAcentral. Lineage: Bacteria; Pseudomonadati; Verrucomicrobiota.
UGUAGCAAUACAAGGCUGAGCUAGUGGCGAACGGGUGCGUAACACGUGAGCAAUCUGCCUUAAAGUGGGGGAUAGCUCGCCGAAAGGCGAAUUAAUACCGCAUGUGGUUGCAAAACCAAAGCCGGGGAAACCUGGCGCUUGUAGAGGAGCUCGCGGCCUAUCAGCUUGUUGGUGAGGUAACGGCUCACCAAGGCCUCGACGGGUAGCUGGUCUGAGAGGACGACCAGCCACACUGGAACUGAGACACGGUCCAGACGCCUACGGGUGGCAGCAGUCGAGAAUUUUUCUCAAUGGGGGAAACCCUGAAGGAGCGACGCCGCGUGGAGGAUGAAUGCUUUCGGGUUGUAAACUCCUGUCAUUUGGGAACAAAGCCUUACGUUAACUGCGUGGAGGUUUGAUAGUACCAGAAGAGGAAGAGACGGCUAACUCUGUGCCAGCAGCCGCGGUAAUACAGAGGUCUCAAGCGUUGUUCGGAUUCAUUGGGCGUAAAGGGCGCGUAGGCUGCGGGGUAAGUCGGGUGUGAAAUCUCAGAGCUCAACUCUGAAACUGCACUCGAUACUGCUCUGCUAGAGGACUGGAGAGGAGAUUGGAAUUCUCGGUGUAGCA